RNAcentral lists this ribosomal RNA (253 nucleotides) under uncultured bacterium. RNAcentral's name for it is "partial 16S ribosomal RNA". It matches the Rfam family "Bacterial small subunit ribosomal RNA", at positions 524 to 776 of the family's 1533-position model. The record is from RNAcentral.
UACGAAGGGGGCUAGCGUUGCUCGGAAUCACUGGGCGUAAAGCGCACGUAGGCGGAUUGUUAAGUCAGGGGUGAAAUCCCGGGGCUCAACCCCGGAACUGCCUUUGAUACUGGCAUUCUCGAGUCCGGAAGAGGUGAGUGGAAUUCCGAGUGUAGAGGUGAAAUUCGUAGAUAUUCGGAGGAACACCAGUGGCGAAGGCGGCUCACUGGUCCGGAACUGACGCUGAGGUGCGAAAGCGUGGGGAGCAAACAGG